UGCACCACAUGGGUUUGCGACUUUCCACGCUAAAUGAGAUGCUUAUAAAAAUACAUAUAGACAUUUGAAAUUCGCGCAUUUUUUGCAUGGCUUGUGCUAGACAGCAAUGCAUUCGUGCCGUGAAUCGCUCACGAAUAGCAGACAGAUUAGAACACCCGCAAGACACAUAGCAGGCUUAGACGGCGUUAUUGUAAUCAUACCUAGGAUUGACUGGUUAAUGCGCGAAAUAACCAACCGUUUUGGUCAAAGUCCGAAAUUAUUUUUUCAGUUUCUACCUUUGACCAACCAUGUUAGUCACUCCUAGGAUGGACUAAAAACAUAUCGGUCAAAGGCCGAAAUACAAAACUAUUUCGGGCUUUGACCAAAACGCUUGGUUAUUCCGGUUAUUGACCAGUCAAUCCUAAGGUUUGUUCUUUCUAUCUGAACUUCUGGUACUAGUUUAAAAAGUGUACACUAAAGCGUUCUUUUUAGCAGAAAUGACGUCAGUAGUCACUGUUCUUUUCAACAGUGCAGUAGAACUUAGUGCAAGAGUUCUCUGAACUGCUUGCCCUAGGUCUGGAGGUAGUGCACAGCGUGCAAAGCAGUACGAAGCAGUACAAUACGAGAAGGUGUACAAUUUCUAUUAAAAUAUAAGGAAAUAGAUUUUACUUGCGAUACAUUGCAAUGUACUGUUGAUGACCAAUUAAUAUUUAUUAAAUUACAUGAAAACAUAAACUCAACAAAUGAUACCAAUGAUCAACAAAAUGAUGAAAAUUAUGGUCAUGAGAACAUUAAUGAUUAUAAUGAAAAUUAUAUUAAUGAAAAUAAUACUAAUGAAGAAAACAAUGGUAAUAAAAUAAAUGAAGAUAAAAAAGAAACAUUUUUUUGGGACGAUGCAACGACAAAAUUGUUCUUGCAAUUAUACAAAGAAAAAAGUGAUUUAUUGGUAAAUAGAAAAAUUAGAACCAAGAAAAUGUUAUGGCAAAAAAUAACCGAAAGUAUGCAAAGAUAUGGAUAUAAUAUUACACUUAUACAAGUAGAAAACAAGUAUAAAUCUUUAGAAAGAAGUUACAAAAAUAUGAUUUUAAAUAAUAAUAAAACAGGCAGAGCUCGCAUAUCAUGUCCAUAUGAAACGCAGUUAACUGAACUUAUGGGUCAUAGGCACAACAUCCGUCCAUUGGCAGUAUCUGGAAAGCAAAGCUUACUUUUACGAGAGGAUGUCCAAAUUAACAAAUCUUUAAAAUCAAAUUGAUGUCAAUUUGGAAACCGAAUCAACAACAUCAAGCACUAUAUCGGAAAAUGUCGAACCUCCGCCAAGGGGAUCCUCUUCUCGAGAAGAAAUCUCGAAUAUAACUAUAAAUAACAUUGAAAAUAACUCUUUAAAUCAAUUGCAGACAGUAUCACAUAAUAGGCAAAGAAAAGAAAUAAGUAAUACGACAAGACCUUCAAAAAUGUGGCACAAAACAAUGGAACAACUUUUAAAUAAUAUUCAGCAAGAAAAGGCUAAAAAAAAUGAAGUACAACAACAGUUAAUAACGGAAUAUAAAGAGAUGAGAAAUACUUAUAAAGAAUCAAUGAAAAAAUAGAGGAACAACUAAUGAAGGCAAAUCAA
Molecule: unclassified non-coding RNA, 1591 nt
Filed under: Monomorium pharaonis (pharaoh ant)
Lineage: Eukaryota; Metazoa; Arthropoda; Insecta; Hymenoptera; Formicidae
Description: trihelix transcription factor GT-2-like, transcript variant X4
Source: RNAcentral